ACGGGAGGCAGCAGUGGGGAAUAUUGGGCAAUGGGCGAAAGCCUGACCCAGCAACGCCGCGUGAAGGAAGAAGGUCUUCGGAUUGUAAACUUCUUUUAUGAGGGACGAAGGACGUGACGGUACCUCAUGAAUAAGCCACGGCUAACUACGUGCCAGCAGCCGCGGUAAUACGGAGGAUGCGAGCGUUAUCCGGAUUUAUUGGGUUUAAAGGGUGCGCAGGCGGCACGUUAAGUCAGCGGUGAAAUGUCGGGGCUCAACCCGGGCACUGCCGUUGAAACUGGCGAGCUUGAGUACGGAUGAAGUCGGCGGAAUGUGACGUGUAGCGGUGAAAUGCAUAGAUAUGUCACAGAACACCGAUUGCGAAGGCAGCCGGCCAAUCCGCAACUGACGCUCAUGCACGAAAGCGUGGGGAUCGAACAGGAUUAGAUACCCUGGUA
The sequence is a ribosomal RNA, 437 nucleotides long. It matches the Rfam family "Bacterial small subunit ribosomal RNA", at positions 341 to 792 of the family's 1533-position model.